This 494-nucleotide unclassified non-coding RNA is filed under the name Hevea brasiliensis (rubber tree). Lineage: Eukaryota; Viridiplantae; Streptophyta; Magnoliopsida; Malpighiales; Euphorbiaceae. The record is from RNAcentral.
ACAUCCUCCAUUCGAUGCUGCUUCUUUAUUGUUCUUUCAUCAAACUCUAUAUCAUCGUCGUCCUCGUCUUUUUCGUCGUCGAACGAUGCCUCCGUGGAAUUUGAGACUCCUGAAUAAAAGCUCAGGCGUAAUGCGCAGCUUCGAUUUCACGGUGAAGGUGACGGCGGAAGCCUUCUUUUUGGGGUUGACAGUAGAGAUAGCCCCGAUGAGGGAAUCCAGCCGAUAAUAGAACGGCCAUUUGGACGGACGAGGUUUAGCUUUCUCGAGCUUAUACUUCUUCUUUAACAUAUCGAUUUGGUUCUUGCACUGGACGUCCGUUUUCCGUGACUCGACGUCUUUUGGACGGCCGUUGACUCUGUCGGCCACUUCCUUCGAGUCCUUCUGACGGAGAUUUCCGCGGUUUAGAUUUAAUGUAACAUUCUCCCCAUGCCUCUAUCAGAGUUUCCGUUGCCUCACAGCCGACGCCUCCGCCGAAUGCGGGGGAGUGGGUGGAG